GGACUCGGGGGGAAGUAUGCUCGCAAGAGUGAAACUUAAAGGAAUUGACGGAAGGGCACCACCAGAUGUGGAGCCUGCGGCUUAAUUUGAUUCAACACGGGAAAACUUACCAGGUCCAGACAUAGCAAGGAUUGACAGAUUGAAGUUCUUUCUUGAUUCUAUGCAUGGUGGUGCAUGGCCGUUCUUAGUUGGUGGAGUGAUUUGUCUGGUUAAUUCCGAUAACGAACGAGACCUCAGCCAUCUAACUAGCCGUCGCUAACUUGUUAGCGUUUGCCCGCAAGUUCGGCUUCUUAGAGGGACAAUCUGCUCCCAGCAGAUGGAGGAGAGGCGAUAACAGGUCAGUGAUGCCCUUAGAUGCUCUGGGCUGCACGCGCGCUACAAUGACGCAUGCAACGAGUGCAACCUGGUUCGGAAGAACUGGGUAAUCUACAAUUUGCGUCCAAGUGGGAAUAGAUGAUUGCAAUUGUUCAUCUUGAACAAGGAAUAUCUAGUAAACGCAAGUCAUCAACUUGCAUUGAUUACGUCCCUGCCCUUUGUACACACCGCCCGUCGCUUCUACCGAUUGAAUAACUGGGUGAAUUGAGUGGAUGGAUUUCGAAAGAAAACCAGAAGCCCUGUAAACCCUGUUAUUUAGAGGAAGGAAAAGUCGUAACAAGGUUUCCGUAGGUGAACCUGCAGAGGGAUC
RNAcentral lists this ribosomal RNA (685 nucleotides) under uncultured Haplosporidia. RNAcentral's name for it is "SSU rRNA". It matches the Rfam family "Eukaryotic small subunit ribosomal RNA", at positions 1109 to 1827 of the family's 1831-position model. The record is from RNAcentral. Lineage: Eukaryota; Endomyxa; Ascetosporea; Haplosporida.